CGGUAGCUAAAUGCGGAAGAGAUAAGUGCUGAAAGCAUCUAAGCACGAAACUUGCCCCGAGAUGAGUUCUCCCUGAGACUUUAAGUCUCCUGAAGGAACGUUGAAGACGACGACGUUGAUAGGCCGGGUGUGUAAGCGCAGCGAUGCGUUGAGCUAACCGGUACUAAUGAACCGUGAGGCUUAACCUU
This 188-nucleotide ribosomal RNA is filed under the name Escherichia coli. Its description in RNAcentral is "partial 23S ribosomal RNA". It matches the Rfam family "Bacterial large subunit ribosomal RNA", at positions 2743 to 2925 of the family's 2925-position model. RNAcentral also lists the same sequence under 2 other names. The record is from RNAcentral. Lineage: Bacteria; Pseudomonadati; Pseudomonadota; Gammaproteobacteria; Enterobacterales; Enterobacteriaceae.